GAGCGUGUGAAUGUAGCGGAUAUCACAGGAGUGUGCGAACCUCCUGACCUGGGUUCAAAUCCCGGCACGCUCACCA
RNAcentral lists this transfer RNA (76 nucleotides) under Methanobacteriota archaeon. RNAcentral's name for it is "Euryarchaeota archaeon tRNA-Arg". It matches the Rfam family "tRNA". Rfam says of the family: Transfer RNA (tRNA) molecules are approximately 80 nucleotides in length. Their secondary structure includes four short double-helical elements and three loops (D, anti-codon, and T loops). Lineage: Archaea; Methanobacteriati; Methanobacteriota. The record is from RNAcentral.